RNAcentral lists this ribosomal RNA (468 nucleotides) under uncultured bacterium. Its description in RNAcentral is "partial 16S ribosomal RNA". It matches the Rfam family "Bacterial small subunit ribosomal RNA", at positions 28 to 507 of the family's 1533-position model. The record is from RNAcentral.
GACGAACGCUGGCGGCGUGCUUAACACAUGCAAGUCGAACGGAAAGGCCCUGCUUUUGUGGGGUGCUCGAGUGGCGAACGGGUGAGUAACACGUGAGUAACCUGCCCUUGACUUUGGGAUAACUUCAGGAAACUGGGUCUAAUACCGGAUAGGAUCUCCUGCUGCAUGGUGGGGGUUGGAAAGUUUCGGCGGUUGGGGAUGGACUCGCGGCUUAUCAGCUUGUUGGUGGGGUAGUGGCUUACCAAGGCUUUGCCGGGUAGCCGGCCUGAGAGGGUGACCGGACCCAUUGGGAUUGAGAUACGGCACAGACCCCAACGGGAGGCAGAGGUGGGGAAUAGUGCACAGUGGGCGGAACCCAAAUGCAGCAAAGCCGCGUGCGGGAUGACGGCCUUGGGGUUGUAAACCAAUUUCCCCUGUGACGAAGCGUGAGUGACGGUACUGGGUAAAGAAGCACCGGCUAACUACGUG